CUCGGUUGAUCCUGCCGGACCCGACUGCUAUCAGAGUGGGACUAAGCCAUGCGAGUCAACGUAGCAAUACGUGGCAUACGGCUCAGUAACACGUAGUCAACAUGCCCAGGGGACGAGGAUAACCUCGGGAAACUGAGGAUAAACCUCGAUAGGCCAUGAUUUCUGGAAUGAUUCUUGGCUCAAACCUAUAUGGCCCCUGGAUUGGACUGCGGCCGAUCAGGCUGUUGGUGAGGUAAUGGCCCACCAAACCUAUUACCGGUACGGGCUCUGAGAGGAGGAGCCCGGAGAUGGGCACUGAGACAAGGGCCCAGGCCCUAUGGGGCGCAGCAGGCGCGAAACCUCUGCAAUAGGCGAAAGCUUGACAGGGUUACUCUGAGUGAUUUCCGCUAAGGGAAUCUUUUGGCACCUCUAAAAAUGGUGCAGAAUAAGGGGUGGGCAAGUCUGGUGUCAGCCGCCGCGGUAAUACCAGCACCCCGAGUGGUCGGGACGAUUAUUGGGCCUAAAGCAUCCGUAGCCGGUCCUGCAAGUCUUCCGUUAAAUCCAGCUGCUCAACAGAUGGGCUGCGGGAGAUACUACAGGGCUAGGAGGCGGGAGAGGCAAGCGGUACUCAGUGGGUAGGGGUAAAAUCCGCUGAUCCAUAGAAGACCACCAGUGGCGAAGGCGGCUUGCCAGAACGCGCUCGACGGUGAGGGAUGAAAGCUGGGGGAGCAAACCGGAUUAGAUACCCGGGUAGUCCCAGCUGUAAACGAUGCAGACUCGGUGAUGGGUUGGCCUCGCGCCUGCCCAGUGCCGCAGGGAAGCCGUUAAGUCUGCCGCCUGGGGAGUACGGCCGCAAGACUGAAACUUAAAGGAAUUGGCGGGGGAGCA
This 867-nucleotide ribosomal RNA is filed under the name uncultured archaeon. RNAcentral describes it as "bacterial SSU rRNA". It matches the Rfam family "Archaeal small subunit ribosomal RNA", at positions 1 to 878 of the family's 1478-position model. The record is from RNAcentral.